CCACACUGCCGCGACGCGUUUCCCUUGCUCCUAUUUUCACAUUCGCUCCUGGAUUUCCGCUGGGCCCAGUGGAGGAUUCUCCCUUGAGCGCCAGUUAUGUUGUUCGACUUGGUGGUCGAUGAUCAGGGGUUUCGAGUGCGUGGAUGAUUCUGUGGAUCGAGGAAGAAUUAUGUAGGCUGGGGUUCCCUUAUUAAGUACGCAUCGAGUCAGAGAGUCUGGUUCGGGAUUGUUAACAUUUGGAAGACUUUAUGGAAUAGAGUGUCGUGGAUUGAGAUAACGAUUACUACGGGGAUGUGUUUAGGAAUCAGUUAAAUAUCACUUUCCACAACCGUGAGUAUACUUUGUGACAAAACUCAAGUUCCAAAAUCUUCAAAAAAUUCACCUCAACAUAGUCUUCUAAUUGCACCAGUGACGCCAUCAACUACUUUCCGUAAAUAGCCAAUCUCAAAACUAUGUAGUACAUCGAUAGCGUCGUAUAGUCUAGUUUAUUUCAAUUUCCUUAGAAAGUAACAAGGACGGCGUAGGAAUAUGCAAAUCGACAUUUAAAUAUUUACACGCCACUUGAGUGUACUCAAUAGCCCCAACUUUUUCCGAUUGCCAACUUGUGAGUCGCCUUGGGUACCUGUCGAUCGGGGAUUUCCUUUACCUCGCAGCUCGUUCUUGUUUCUUCUCUUCGACUCGAUACCCCAACGUCUCUUUUUUCCUCGUUUGGACGACCACCAUGAAGCAUCCGCCACUCGUUGUACUUGUCAAAGCGUAUUGCAUGUUGACCGAUGGCGGAUACGGCGACGAACGAAGGGGCGAGUUCAUUUAAACCAUCCUGACGCCGUCCAUCCAAGUGAUAGGGGCUUGGAACUUUCCCCCGGAAAUUGCUUUAAACUCAGAUUCGCUGGAGCUACGUCUCAGGCACGUGCAAACAGACUGGAACGAGUCAUUAUAGCGUGGGUGGCGUGAGCUGGACCGGAUAGUUCCCCAAGAUCAUGAAUAAACAAGUGGAUUAGUUAUUCGAACGCCUAACACGAUAUCAAAAAUAAAUGUCGGAAUCCCCAAGCUGGAUCCAGAGCUGAUUCGAUGCGUAAUCGCUGGCCGGAUUUGGUAACGGCAGCCGCGACGAAACGGCGUGCGAAGAGGAAUCGCUGACGGGACACUUCUUCCUCUGCAUAAUGCACCGAGGGGAACGCGACGAGGCAUUAGGCCCUGGGCGUCCGUCCGCAGCGCGGAGACCGCGAAGGAGUAAGAAAGGGUCAGGCGCGCAUCCGUAGAAUAUAAACGGCAAUCAGUCCGAACUUAUUAUCGCGGCUGAAGGAGGACAAGAAGCCUGGCGCGGGGAACGAUAUGGAGAAACUCGAAAGGGAGAGUGACGGGGAGUCGCGGAGAGAGAAAAUGGGAGAAGAGGGAGAGGAAAAAUGUGCGAGGAAGGAUGGAGAGGACUGGAAGGGAGAAAACGAAACCUGUAGGGAACGGGAGAUCGUGGAGAUAGCGAUGGGGGCUUCGAGGGUCUAGCAUGUUGUUUAUUCGCGGAUAGGAACGUUCACGUGUUCGGUCUGAUUUGCAGAUUGCUCAAAGGGAACCUAUUUUACAUCAAGAGCCCAUUCAAGUCUUGACACGGAGCCUUUAGAAAACAAAUUACCUAUCUAUCCCUCAGCCCCACCUCGAAACACGUCAACAAACCUGUUCGAAUCCCAUCACUACGAGACUGGAAGCCUUCUCGAGACGGAGAGGAAGGCAGAUUAGAGGAAGCGGAUAGUAGGGGAAAGGGAACGGUCCAUGAAAGCCUCUUCGACGUCAUUUGUAAUACCGUAUGGCCUAAUGAUGCGACUGGUCGUGACAGGACGCGGAUAAAAGUAGAAGCGCGCGAUUGUGGAGAUUGAGGGUGCAUGCAGAGCGCCCGUGGGUUGGGACGAUCCUCUUUGCGACCGCUUGCACGGCUCCGUCGAUUGUUAAGGGCCCAAUCUCGGUGAACACUUCCCGGCACGUAAUGGUGAUUUGCUCGAUCGCAGAAACGGAGGCACUUCUGCGAUUUCAUCGAGCAAUUUUUGCACGCCUCGAAUGCCAGUUAUUGCGCGCGUGCAGCGUGCAGGAUGUCCCCGUAAUAUCGUUCGUUUGCGGGCACCAUGCUGUUUCGUCGCCAAAGAACGUCCCCUUCGUUGUGCCGUUGUUACCUUCGUUUCUGAGAAUCGUGUGACCAACCUUUUUGCCGAACCUAUUCCCCGCGGCGAAUUAGAUCUUCGGGGAAUUUAACAUCCUUCGAAAAAAGCGAGCGUGAAGAUUUAAUUAUAGGCGAGUUAUUUUUCUAGGACGUGAGACAAUUGGGGAACUAGUAGUUCAGACGAUUAUGUAUAUCACUCAUGUACAGUUUUCAAGAAAUGAAACGUUUAGUCUACUUUAUAUGACUUUUCAUUAAAUUCGAGGUACUAUGUCUCUUAUAUACCUCAAACUGUAUAACAAAUAUAUUAAAUAUGUAUGUAUAUAUUCAACAUGGUACAAGGGCUUCUGGACCGGCGAUGGUUCAAAGUCAUUUUUCUAUAAUAAAAAAAAAAGAGACUCUGUCUUCAUGUUCAUUAAAUUUCUGACAUACACGUGCAAAGUUCAAUUGCGAACGUAAUAAUCCACGAGAAAUCUAUGAAAUGAGUUUGAUUUCUCAUGAAUCAUUAAUAGCAGUAAAUCUUCAACCUCUUCAACCUCAACUCCAAGUAGUAUUUACUGCUGUCACUCAUUCAAUGCUUUGUACCUAAUUUACAAAAUUUCCAGAUAUAUUCAUCAUCUCUCCCCUAGAGUCGCUUCCUGAUCCACGAGAGAAUUACAAUGACAAAGAAUAAUAACUGACGUAAACGAGCAUGUAAAAUGACAACCGUCUCGAAACUCGCGUUACAAUAGCGAGAGCGCCAUGAAUCACGUGGCGAGUACCGAUUAAGAAUUUCAAUUCGCGCGACACGACGGGAGAUCUGUGUCGCGUAAAUCUCAAGCAAACUACUCGUCGUGUAGAAAAAGGCAAAGACUGUAAGAGGUAGGCAUUACUCACAUGAGGUCUUGCGCGGCGGCGCUCUAAAACGCGCGAUUUAUAUCUACAAGUGGGCGCGUGUCAAACCCGAGAAAAGAACCUGCCCACACAGGUAGUAUCGAAAGAUGGUGGAGAUUGCGUGGUAUGUUUUACCGUAUCGCAGCGUGAAAUUAUACGGCUGAGGACGAAGAAGGGAUCGGUGAACUCCCAAUCUUCGAGGGACCGAUCGAGGAAAAAAGUUUCGCCGUGCCAAAUGUGGAACAAAUCGGUUGGAAGUGUUUUCUUUGGUUUCAUUCUGGGAUCGAGAGACGGAACUCUUGGAAUUUCGUUUGCUGAAUGGACUUGAGCUUCGGGACAAGUAAUCUUAUUAAAGUCGUCUUAUAAAGGAUCAAAGGUGGAUCAAGAUUUUCGGGAUUUUCGUAGAUUUA
Hylaeus anthracinus is the source of this 3429-nucleotide long non-coding RNA. RefSeq lists it as uncharacterized. The record is from RefSeq and is a predicted model, not a curated record. Lineage: Eukaryota; Metazoa; Arthropoda; Insecta; Hymenoptera; Colletidae. The transcript has 5 exons.